Oncorhynchus tshawytscha (Chinook salmon) is the source of this 1046-nucleotide long non-coding RNA. Lineage: Eukaryota; Metazoa; Chordata; Actinopteri; Salmoniformes; Salmonidae. The record is from Ensembl.
CUCUCUCUCUAACCCAGUCUUCUCUCUACCCCAGUCCUCUCUCUACCCCAGUACUCUCUCUACCCCGGUCCUCUCUCUACCCCAGUUCUCUCUCUACCCAAGUCCUCUCUACACCCCGGUCCUCUCUCUACCCCAGUCCUCUCUCUACCCCAGUAUUCACUCUACCCCAGUAUUCUCUCUACCCCAGUAUUCACUCUACCCCAGACCUCUCUCUACCCCAGACCUCUCUCUACCCCGGUCCUCUCUCUACCCCAAUCCUCUAUCUCUCUCUACCCCAGUAUUCUCUCUCUACCCCAGUAUUCACUCUACCACAGUCCUCUCUCUACCCCAGUAUUCACUCUACCCCAGUCCUCUCUCUAUAUCUCUCUAACCCAGUAUUCUCUCUACACCCAGUAUUCUCUCUACCCCAGUAUUCUCUCUACCCCAGUAUUAACUCUACCCCAGUAUUCUCUCUAUCUCUCUCUACCCCAGUAUUCUCUCUACCCCAGGAUUCUCUCUACCCCAGUCCUCUCUCUACCCCAGUCCUCUCUCUACCCCAGUAUUCUCUCUACCCCAGGAUUCUCUCUACCCCAGUCCUCUCUCUACCCCAGUCCUCUCUCUACCCCAGUAUUAACUCUACCCCAGUAUUCUCUCUAUCUCUCUCUACCCCAGUAUUCUCUCUACCCCAGGAUUCUCUCUACCCCAGUCCUCUCUCUACCCCAGUCCUCUCUCUAUAUCUCUCUACCCCAGUAUUCUCUCUACACCCAGUAUUCUCUCUACCCCAGGAUUCUCUCUACCCCAGUCCUCUCUCUACCCCAGCACUCUCUCUCUCUCUCUCUACCCCAGUAUUCUCUCUACCCCAGUCCUCUCUCUACCCCAGCACUCUCUCUCUCUCUCUCUCUCUCUCUCUCUCUCUCUCUCUCUCUCUCUCUCUCUCCCAGUAUUCUCUCUACCACAGUCCCUCUCUCUACCUCAGUAUUCUCUCUAUCCCAGAAUUCUCUCUACCCCAUAAUUCUCUCUACCCCAGUAUUCUCUCUAUCCCAGUAUUCUCUCUACCCCAGUAUUCU